RNAcentral lists this ribosomal RNA (231 nucleotides) under Copepoda environmental sample. RNAcentral describes it as "partial 18S ribosomal RNA". It matches the Rfam family "Eukaryotic small subunit ribosomal RNA", at positions 1205 to 1456 of the family's 1831-position model. The record is from RNAcentral. Lineage: Eukaryota; Metazoa; Arthropoda; Copepoda.
ACGGGAAAUCUCACCAGGCCCGGACACUGGCAGGAUUGACAGAUUGAGAGCUCUUUCUCGAUUCGGUGGGUGGUGGUGCAUGGCCGUUCUUAGUUGGUGGAGUGAUUUGUCUACUUAAUUGUGAUAACGAACGAGACUCUGUCCUGCUAAAUAGUCCCGUCGCCUCUUAUUGCGGCGGGAAUUCUUCUUAGAGGGACUGGCGAUAUCUAGUCGCACGAGAUUGAGCAAUAA